This 827-nucleotide long non-coding RNA is filed under the name Manihot esculenta (cassava). RNAcentral's name for it is "long non-coding RNA (MESC_LNC006111)". The record is from RNAcentral. Lineage: Eukaryota; Viridiplantae; Streptophyta; Magnoliopsida; Malpighiales; Euphorbiaceae.
AUCUGAAACUGGUAAUACCUAAUUUUAAAUUUAAUUUCUAUCCUCAUAUGCAAUAAGAAAAUAAUAAUUAUAUGUACAUAUAUAGAUCCCUCUCAUUUCUGCAUACUGCUCUUCUAAUAUUCAAGAUUAAAGGAGAAGAAAAAAAAGCCCCAAAUAUUCUUGAAUUGAAAAAAAAAAAGAAAUUCUAAUUAAGAUCAAGAAACAGCAAAUCCAUCUCUAUUGGCAUUCAUUAAGCAAAACCUGGAAGGCCUGGGACAGCGACGAGAGUGGCCAGCGACGGCGACGGCGAGGCGAGAGGACAGCGACGGCGAGGACAGCGAAGGCGAGAGGACAGCGACGGCGAGAGGACAGCGGCGGCGAGAGUGGCAAGAAGGCGACGGCGAGGUGAGGCGAUAGCCACUAGCGACGGCGACGAGAGUGGNNNNNNNNNNNNNNNGAGAGGACGGCGACGGCGAGGCGAGAGGACGGCGACGGCGAGGCGAGAGGCCAGCGACGGCGAGGACAGCGAAGGCGGCGGCGGCGAGAGUGGCAAGAAGCACGAAUGGGCGCUGAGGGGCAGAGAGGAGAGGAAAGGGUGGCUGAAAAUUAAAAGAAAGAUGAAAAGAAGAUUAGGUUUUUUGCUUUUAUAUUGUUUGCUUUUUCUGACGGAUUAGCGACGGAAUAAAUUCCGUCGCUAAUAUUUUAAAAAUCCGUCGCUAAUCCGUCGCUAAUCCGUCAGAAAAUUAGACAUAAGGUAUUCGUCGCUGAUCCGUCGCUAAUUUUUUUUUUUCCGACGGAAGUUACUUCCGUCGCUAAAUCCGUCACUGAUACCUUGUUUUUUUGUAGUG